Molecule: ribosomal RNA, 469 nt
Filed under: Mesozoanthus fossii
Lineage: Eukaryota; Metazoa; Cnidaria; Anthozoa; Zoantharia; Parazoanthidae
Description: partial 16S ribosomal RNA
Rfam family: Bacterial large subunit ribosomal RNA
Source: RNAcentral
GAAGGCCCCACUGUCUUAAGGAAAUUCCCAGUGAAAUUGAAUUCGUAGUGAAGAUGCUACGUCCAAUUUGUUAGACGAAAAGACCCCGUUGAGCUUUACUGGGACACUUACACGGCCCCGGCCUUAGAGCCCCCUCCGGGGGCUCGAAGGCCGAAUUUGAAUGGGCGGCUUAGACUAUGUGGCAGCCCCCCGUCGGGGGCAGAUGAAACCCCACUCCCCCAUGUCAAAGGGGCUAACCCCUCCCUUGGGGGGGACAAUGUAAGUAGGACAGUUUGGUUGGGGCGACCGCCUUUUAGAGAGUAACGAAGGUGCGCUUAAGGUGCGCAAUUAAUGACUGAAGCCUGACUGCGAGGGGGACACCCCGAGCAGACACCCCCAAGCCCGCCAGAGGGGGCGGGGGUGGGCCAUAGUGACCCGUUAAUUUAGAGUGGGAUAGUUAACGAUCAACGAAUAAAAGUUACCACGGGGA